This 253-nucleotide ribosomal RNA is filed under the name uncultured bacterium. Its description in RNAcentral is "partial 16S ribosomal RNA". It matches the Rfam family "Bacterial small subunit ribosomal RNA", at positions 524 to 776 of the family's 1533-position model. The record is from RNAcentral.
UACGGAGGAUCCAAGCGUUAUCCGGAUUUAUUGGGUUUAAAGGGUGCGUAGGCGGCUUAUUAAGUCAGGGGUGAAAGACGGUGGCUCAACCAUCGCAGUGCCUUUGAUACUGAUGAGCUUGAAUACACUUGAUGUAGGCGGAAUGUGACAAGUAGCGGUGAAAUGCAUAGAUAUGUCACAGAACACCAAUUGCGAAGGCAGCUUACUAAGGUGCAAUUGACGCUGAGGCACGAAAGCGUGGGGAUCAAACAGG